UACGUAGGGACCAAGCGUUGUCCGGAAUCAUUGGGCGUAAAGAGCGUGUAGGCGGCUUGUUAAGUCUUGCGUGAAAUCUCGGGGCUCAACCCCGAGCGGUCGUGAGAAACUGGCAGGCUAGAGUGCGGGAGAGGAGAGUGGAAUUCCUGGUGUAGCGGUGAAAUGCGCAGAUAUCAGGAAGAGCACCAAUGGCGAAGGCAGCCCUCUGGGACGGUACUGACGCUGAGACGCGAAAGCGUGGGGAGCGAACAGG
RNAcentral lists this ribosomal RNA (253 nucleotides) under uncultured bacterium. Its description in RNAcentral is "partial 16S ribosomal RNA". It matches the Rfam family "Bacterial small subunit ribosomal RNA", at positions 524 to 776 of the family's 1533-position model. The record is from RNAcentral.